This 253-nucleotide ribosomal RNA is filed under the name uncultured bacterium. Its description in RNAcentral is "partial 16S ribosomal RNA". It matches the Rfam family "Bacterial small subunit ribosomal RNA", at positions 524 to 776 of the family's 1533-position model. The record is from RNAcentral.
UACGUAGGGGGCAAGCGUUGUCCGGAAUUAUUGGGCGUAAAGAGCGUGUAGGCGGUCCGGUAAGUCAGCUGUGAAAGUCAAGGGCUCAACCCUUGAAAGCCGGUUGAUACUGUCGGGCUAGAGUCCGGAAGAGGCGAGUGGAAUUCCCGGUGUAGCGGUGAAAUGCGUAGAUAUCAGGAGGAACACCGGUGGCGAAGGCGGCUGCCUGGCCUAAGACUGACGCUGAGGUGCGAAAGCGUGGGGAGCGAACGGG